This is a long non-coding RNA of Myotis davidii, 523 nucleotides long. RefSeq lists it as uncharacterized. Lineage: Eukaryota; Metazoa; Chordata; Mammalia; Chiroptera; Vespertilionidae. The record is from RefSeq and is a predicted model, not a curated record. The transcript is spliced from 3 exons.
CCUGUGUUCUUCCCUGGGUCUCUCCCCGACCCUGUGCCGGGGUCACAGUAUCUGUCCUGCAUUACUUAGAGGCAUCCACCUGGAAGGGAGAUGAUGACACAGAAGCUUGAAAGCCGAUGUCCCUGGCUGUGGCUGGAGAGAAGAGGAAUCCCGAUGUGACAUGUGGGCAUGCAUUCACCAGGCAGGCAGCCCUGGAAAUUUCAGUGCCCUGGGUCAAAGUCCCAAGUUUGUGACCCUAGAUGGGGUCCUGAAGAGAACACAGUGGAUAUUUGUUGUGUUUUGUGACACCCAACAAUAGUCAUUGAAAAUCCUUUCUGUGUUCGGGGAAUUUUCCACAUGAAGGUUCCUACUGGAAGCCAGUAGAUCACUCCUCGCUUGAUUUCCAUCCAGGGAGACUCCAAUGUGCAAGAGAGUAGGAAGAGGCAGGGGCCACACAGAAGCAUCUUUUUACUGCUGAAUAGAUUCUAUUGUAUGAAUAUAUCCCAUUUUCUUUAUUUACCAAUGUAUAAGGAUUUGAAUAAUU